This 428-nucleotide ribosomal RNA is filed under the name uncultured bacterium. Its description in RNAcentral is "bacterial SSU rRNA". It matches the Rfam family "Bacterial small subunit ribosomal RNA", at positions 917 to 1344 of the family's 1533-position model. The record is from RNAcentral.
GGACCCGCACAAGCGGUGGAGCAUGUGGUUUAAUUCGAUGCAACGCGAAGAACCUUACCUGGUCUUGACAUCCUGCGAACUUUCUAGAAAUAGAUUGGUGCCUUCGGGAACGCAGUGACAGGUGCUGCAUGGCUGUCGUCAGCUCGUGUCGUGAGAUGUUGGGUUAAGUCCCGUAACGAGCGCAACCCCUAUCCUUAUUUGCCAGCACAUUAUGGUGGGAACUAUAAGGAGACUGCCGGUGAUAAACCGGAGGAAGGCGGGGACGACGUCAAGUCAUCAUGGCCCUUACGACCAGGGCUACACACGUGCUACAAUGGGAUGGACAAAGAGUCGCGAAGCCGCGAGGUGUAGCUAAUCUCAUAAACCUUCUCGUAGUCCGGAUUGGAGUCUGCAACUCGACUCCAUGAAGUCGGAAUCGCUAGUAAUCG